This is a non-coding RNA of Schizosaccharomyces pombe (fission yeast), 1280 nucleotides long. Lineage: Eukaryota; Fungi; Ascomycota; Schizosaccharomycetes; Schizosaccharomycetales; Schizosaccharomycetaceae. The record is from the annotation of a GenBank genome assembly.
UAAUUAAAGAGUUUUUGACACUAACUUCUUUGUAGCAAGAUUCUCCGUAAAAUAAUUGACAACCCAAUUUGCAGACGUGAGCGUCUUGUUUAUCAUGAUCGAGGGAUCCUACAUAGCCACAGCAAGUAUAUUUACAGUACUGGAAAAAUAUCAACUUGAAACUUAAUUAUGGACUUCCUGAGCCAUGAAAACACACCACUCUUGAGGUUUUAUCAGGAUUCACCAUUAGUUAAUUAGUGAUGGCUUGACGCUCCUUCGUCUUCCAGCAAUCAUCUAUGGCAAUGUUCUCAUGUGCAUAGUCAAGCAUUUCCGAUGACUUUAUUACUUCAUAAAAGGUAAAAAAAUAUUUUAGCUGAUGUUACUUCCAAUUUAUUUUAAGUAUCCCAAUUUUAAGGGCAGGCACUUCACUCAACAUAGCCAAACCAAUAGCAAACUUACAAAUACAAGAUUCUAGUAGGGAGAGUAUAAUUAAUGAUUCCAGAGAUGAGUGAAUAGAAAUUAUGAAGGUUUGCAAAAGAAAAGUGUUUUAUGAUCUUACAGAACCUUAGGGAAAUCGUAAAUUGGAUAUGCCCAGUAGCAUUCAAUUGAAAUGUCCAAUUUUUCUUCAAUUUUAACAAAAUUUGAGUAAAAUUUGGCAAUAAGAUAUACCUUGAAAUACUGGAAAACAAAUCUAAAUGACACUAGAUCUAAUCGAUCUAUUUAUACUUAAACCAAUCUACUUCGUAAGAUGAUGGAACGAAAAAACAACUUAAGUUACUGAGAAAUUUGAUAAUUUUAGUCCGUAGUCCAUGACUUAUUCUUGAGUGUGCCGUCAAAGAUUUCUUUCUCCUAUUGUUUGAAUUAUUAAUGUAUUCCCUCCCCGCAAUAUUCCUAAAUUCAUGAAGUUUAAAGUUUUGUUAACCGAGGGGACAUAUCCGACGUCAAUAUUCUAAUAUUUUACGGAGUUUUAUUCUUUAAGACAUUAUACACAUCGUCUCGACAGUAUGGCUUUUUUCCUUUACUUCAUUGCAAGUUUCAGAUCGCAGAAGGGUUCCAACUUUGCUUCAAUACGAUUGAGUGCGUAUAAAGCCUUUUUCUGUACUUACCUCGUUUUACUUGUUUCUCUUAAAAAACUUUUAAUAGCUUUUCCUGUUAGAUUCUUUUGAUAGUAAACAAUAGUUUGAGGGUUAUGGGUGUAUUUAUUACUGUAUACUUUUUGUCAAUAAUACAAAAGCUGAGCACAUUACCAUAAUUUGUCGCUACAAGCAUUGCAGUUUCUUAUCACCUGUUGAGAUUUUUUA